This 301-nucleotide ribosomal RNA is filed under the name uncultured bacterium. RNAcentral's name for it is "partial 16S ribosomal RNA". It matches the Rfam family "Bacterial small subunit ribosomal RNA", at positions 509 to 809 of the family's 1533-position model. The record is from RNAcentral.
CAGUAGCCACGGGAAUACGUAGGGUCCGAGCGUUGUCCGGAAUUAUUGGGCGUAAAGAGCUCGUAGGCGGUCUGUCGCGUCUGCCGUGAAAUCCUCAGGCUCAACCUGAGGCGUGCGGUGGGUACGGGCAGGCUAGAGUGCGGUAGGGGAGAAUGGAACUCCUGGUGUAGCGGUGGAAUGCGCAGAUAUCAGGAAGAACACCGAUGGCGAAGGCAGUUCUCUGGGCCGUAACUGACGCUGAGGAGCGAAAGCGUGGGGAGCGAACAGGAUUAGAUACCCCUGUAGUCCCUGUCUCUUAUAA